RNAcentral lists this transfer RNA (73 nucleotides) under Felis catus (domestic cat). It matches the Rfam family "tRNA". Rfam says of the family: Transfer RNA (tRNA) molecules are approximately 80 nucleotides in length. The record is from Rfam by way of RNAcentral. Lineage: Eukaryota; Metazoa; Chordata; Mammalia; Carnivora; Felidae.
UCCUGGCUGGCUCAGUUGGUAGAGCGUGUGAUUCUUGAUCUCAGGGUUAUAAAUUCAAUCUCCAUGUUGGGUA